This 872-nucleotide long non-coding RNA is filed under the name Anser brachyrhynchus (Pink-footed goose). Its description in RNAcentral is "lncRNA (ENSABRG00000003265.1)". Lineage: Eukaryota; Metazoa; Chordata; Aves; Anseriformes; Anatidae. The record is from RNAcentral.
AUGCUUGUCAUAGUUCUUCCUUGCGUAGUUGUGAUGAUGGGUGUGACUGAGAAAGAUAACGAAACCCUAACACCUGUCAGAACGAGCAGUGUUCAACAGUGCUUCAGAAAGAGCUUAUCUUCCAGAGUUUCAAUACUUCUAAUUUACUUGCUGAAGAGAAGGUUUUAUAUGAACUAUGAAUGGCCAUGGGUAACUGAGUUUCAAAAGCAGACAGUCUUGUUUCUGCCCCCUCUGGAUGCUUCAAGUUAAGGCACUUUAAAAUCACCAGAAAUGCUUUCACAUCAAGUUUUUCUAUAUAAAAUGCUAAACUAAUAUUGCAAAUUUGACACUGGAUUUGACUUUUAAAGUAGAAAUGUUGCUUGAAAGUAACCCUGAAUCCUUUGCACUAAAACACAUAUUUUCUCAUUUAAUCAUUAGUUUCCAAUGAAAACUGUUCCUUAUAUCAGACUCUCCUAGUUACACAUAAAAUUCUGUAACCAAGAAAACUAUGAAAAAUGUUAUAGCAGCUUGUCCUAAGUUCAAAAAAAAUCAAAUUUUCUUCUAGAAUUAUAGAAACAAACAAAGAAGUUAAGGGUUCUGUAGUGGGUUUACGUGGGAAGGUUUUGGUAGCAGCGGGUCAUAGGGGUGGCUUCUGUGAGAAGGCUCUAGAAGCUGCCCCAUGUUUGGUAAGGGCCCCACUGCUGACCAGAGCUGAGCCAAUAGGUGAUGUUGUUUUUCCGCCUCUGUGAGAGCAUAUUUAAAACAGGGAAAAAAAAAACGCUGCGCCACACAGCAGCUGGGAGAGUGAGGGGAGUGAGGAACAGCCUUGCAGGCGCCAAGGCCAGUGAAGAAGGAGGGGGAGAGGUGCUCCAGGCGCCAGAGCAGAAGUCCCC